This 465-nucleotide ribosomal RNA is filed under the name uncultured Klebsiella sp. RNAcentral describes it as "bacterial SSU rRNA". It matches the Rfam family "Bacterial small subunit ribosomal RNA", at positions 338 to 795 of the family's 1533-position model. Lineage: Bacteria; Pseudomonadati; Pseudomonadota; Gammaproteobacteria; Enterobacterales; Enterobacteriaceae. The record is from RNAcentral.
CCUACGGGUGGCAGCAGUGGGGAAUAUUGCACAAUGGGCGCAAGCCUGAUGCAGCCAUGCCGCGUGUGUGAAGAAGGCCUUCGGGUUGUAAAGCACUUUCAGCGGGGAGGAAGGCGGUGAGGUUAAUAACCUCAUCGAUUGACGUUACCCGCAGAAGAAGCACCGGCUAACUCCGUGCCAGCAGCCGCGGUAAUACGGAGGGUGCAAGCGUUAAUCGGAAUUACUGGGCGUAAAGCGCACGCAGGCGGUCUGUCAAGUCGGAUGUGAAAUCCCCGGGCUCAACCUGGGAACUGCAUUCGAAACUCGCAGGCUAGAGUCUUGUAGAGGGGGGUAGAAUUCCAGGUGUAGCGGUGAAAUGCGUAGAGAUCUGGAGGAAUACCGGUGGCGAAGGCGGCCCCCUGGACAAAGACUGACGCUCAGGUGCGAGAGCGUGGGGAGCAAACAGGAUUAGAUACCCGAGUAGUC